UGGGGAAUAUUGCACAAUGGGCGAAAGCCUGAUGCAGCGACGCCGCGUGAGGGAUGACGGCCUUCGGGUUGUAAACCUCUUUCAGCAGGGACGAAGCGCAAGUGACGGUACCUGCAGAAGAAGCACCGGCUAACUACGUGCCAGCAGCCGCGGUAAUACGUAGGGUGCAAGCGUUGUCCGGAAUUACUGGGCGUAAAGAGUUCGUAGGCGGUUUGUCGCGUCGUUUGUGAAAACCAGCAGCUCAACUGCUGGCUUGCAGGCGAUACGGGCAGACUUGAGUACUGCAGGGGAGACUGGAAUUCCUGGUGUAGCGGUGAAAUGCGCAGAUAUCAGGAGGAGCACCGGUGGCGAAGGGGGGUCUCUGGGCAGUAACUGACGCUGAGGAACGAAAGCGUGGGUAGCGAACAGG
Molecule: ribosomal RNA, 409 nt
Filed under: bacterium
Lineage: Bacteria
Description: partial 16S ribosomal RNA
Rfam family: Bacterial small subunit ribosomal RNA
Source: RNAcentral